UAACCCUAACCCUAUUUCUUUCUCUCUUUCUCCCACUCCCUCCCUGCCUCCCACCGCCUCCUCUCUCAAAUCCAUCUGCAAGCUCCAACGAUUACCCGAUGUCAGCAAUAAAAUCUUCUCUCUCUCUCUCUCGUAAAGUUCUAGGGUUUCGACUUUCGAAUUGAAUCGAUCCUUGGAUUUCGAUCAAGAUUCAAAUGGGAAGGAAGAGGAAAUCAGAGGCAUCAAGGCUCGAUGAGAUUGAUCGAAGCAUGUUUUCGACCUUCUGCAGCGCUGCGAACUCCCUCUCGCAGCUCUACGCGCAGGCUAUGAACCAGCAGAAGAUCUCUUUUCAGGCCGGAGAGCGCCAUGGAUUGGAGAUUCAAAGAGAAAAAAGAAGCUGCAGAACCAGAAGCUGAUCCUGAAAGGGACCAGAGAACUGUUUUUGCUUAUCAGAUGCCUUUGAAAGCGACAGAAAGGGAUGUUUAUGAAUUCUUCUCGAAAGCAGGAAAGUAAAUGCUCAUGUGCCUUCAAUGAGGCCUAUUAUAAUGACUUUUUUGUGGCUCAACAUUCUUUUAUUUGGUGAGUGUGAAAAGAAUUGGAAGUUUGAUUGCUCACCAUAUUGGGUGCAGUCCUUAGGGUGGUGUUAUGUGUAGUUAGAGACGUGCGGCUGAUCAUGGAUCGGAACUCGAGACGAUCAAAAGGAGUUGGGAUAUGAAAUAUGAGCAGGAGCAACAACAACAUCAACAACAAAUGGUGUCUAACUUAAAGUCACAAGUGAAAGCUAUGUAGGAACUUUUUUUAGGUAGCCAUCUUCAUUGACUCCUCAAACUCGAGAACAUGUGCAGGACCAGGCUAUCCAUGCAAGAUUAGGAGAGAGGGUAGCUCGAG
This is an RNA transcript of Asparagus officinalis (garden asparagus), 867 nucleotides long. It is a transcript of the gene named probable RNA-binding protein 23, with no coding region annotated. Lineage: Eukaryota; Viridiplantae; Streptophyta; Magnoliopsida; Asparagales; Asparagaceae. The record is from RefSeq and is a predicted model, not a curated record. The transcript has 7 exons.